This 321-nucleotide ribosomal RNA is filed under the name uncultured eukaryote. Its description in RNAcentral is "partial 18S ribosomal RNA". It matches the Rfam family "Eukaryotic small subunit ribosomal RNA", at positions 1470 to 1796 of the family's 1831-position model. The record is from RNAcentral.
CCCUUAGACGUUCUGGGCCGCACGCGCGCUACACUGACCAGUGCAACAAGCAUCCGUCCUUGGCCGAUAGGUCUGGGUAAUCUUUGAACGCUGUUCGUGAUUGGGAUAGACCUUUGCAAUUAUGGGUCUUCAACGAGGAAUUCCUAGUAAACGCAAGUCAUCAGCUUGCAUUGAUUACGUCCCUGCCCUUUGUACACACCGCCCGUCGCACCUACCGAUUGAAUGGUCCGGUGAAAUCUCGGGACGGCGGCUUGGUCGCUUGCGUCCGACUGCUGAAACUUGAUUAAACCAUNUNAUUUAUNGGAAGGUGAANUCGUANCA